This 75-nucleotide transfer RNA is filed under the name Merluccius polli (Benguela hake). Its description in RNAcentral is "tRNA-Val". The record is from RNAcentral. Lineage: Eukaryota; Metazoa; Chordata; Actinopteri; Gadiformes; Merlucciidae.
GGUCCUGACUAGCUCAACUGGUAGAGCAUGGCAUUAACGUUGCCAGGGUUAGGGCUUCGAUUUCCGCUGGGACCA